Molecule: non-coding RNA, 555 nt
Organism: Vicia faba (fava bean)
Lineage: Eukaryota; Viridiplantae; Streptophyta; Magnoliopsida; Fabales; Fabaceae
Source: the annotation of a GenBank genome assembly
AAAGAAAACAAUAAAAUAAUUAAAACUAAAAGGAAUAAACAUGUGAAAUUAAAAAAGGGGUUUAGGGUUGAGGAACAAAUCCGUCUCUUCAUCUCUCUCACGAAGCUUGGUGGCGCCGCACGUCUCUUUUCCUCUUCUUCGAUUCAUACAUCAAACUCCGGUGUCGAAGCUCCGCUCACCUUUGUCUUCGAUGCUACUGUUUCAUUCUUCUUCAAUCUCAGAACUCACGGCCGUCUUCGUGCUCUCCUACUCAACUUGACGGUGCGGCUUCUCCAUAAAUCUUUGUCUCCGAUUCGCUUUACUUUGCAAGCAUCUCUGAUCCAACUUCAACGGCGCGGCUUCUUCUGUGCGAACUCGCUCCGAUCUCAGAUUCCAAUUAUUUUUUGGAGUCGCUCCGAUGGUGUUUCAAGCGCGACGGAGAUGAUGAGAAGUCAGAGAGCAUCUUCAACAAUUGCUCAUAAAUGUUGCCACAACGUGUUGUUGUUGUUUGAAGCAGGGAUAACGAAGUUGAUGGAGAUAGAAGAAGGUGUAGAUGCGGUUUUUGCGGUUUGCUAA